GUAUGUCAUAUAGGAUUGGAAUCAGACUCAUGAUGAAGAAUUUUUAAAAAUGAUUCCACAAAUUAUUUUUUCUUGUUAAUACCUGGUUCUUACAUUUACCCACAAUGCAAUUCAACAGGAUUAAAUUUUAUGUAUGUUGUGCCAGUAGUGGCUAAUGUAGCCUCAGUAUGCUAGCUUCAAGCAGAGGUCAGCAGUGGGCUACGAUGGUGUGCUAAGCUAGCUAGCUUUCAAACUCCAUAUCCAGAAAAAUAAUAAAAUAGGCACACAAUUUAUCAGAUAUAAGAUGUUGAUGUUUUCUUCUAUAAUAAAUUACUAAAAAAUGUAAAAAUGCAAAGUAAAAUAUGCCAGGUUGGGAAGCAGAAUGGACUUUGAAAGACAGUAGGGCUGAAUUGCAUUAUGGGAAGUGCAGGAUCCAGGGGUUUUUUUGUGCUGGAUUCGAAUUAAGGAAUGAAAGUCAGGAUAUCUUGACAUCCGCUGCAUUGAUUUCGGCCAUUCUUUUUUUAAUCUAACUUUCACAAGCCCUCAAACUUUUUAGCAGUGCAAUACUAAAUCACUGGGGUGGUCCUUUAAGUCUUUAUUUGCUCUUGUGCAACAGUGUGGUUUCACAGAUUCUCUUUAAGCCACUAGUUUCUACUGAUUUUUAAUUAUAUUAAAGAUUCUGUUUUUAAAUGUCUUCUUAUGAGUCACCAUAAAUCUCUCUGGGAGGUUUUGAUGCAAAAAGGAAUUUCAAGCCUCAGUCCUGCGCUGUUAUUAAUGAGAAUUCAUGUAUUGUUAUUAUUACAUGAUGUAGCUGUUCUGUUCUGAGGAAAAAUAGGAAACCAAAGUCAUAUAUAUGUAAUGAAGCUGACAGCUGUAGAGGUGGAGGAUUCUUGAAACAGAAAGACAGAAGUGUUAGCUUUUGCUUUGAUCAUAUUUUUGUCAGCGUUUAUUCGGCAGACUCUCCUGGUAAAGAAAGUCACUAGCAAUAUGUAAUAUUUACUACUUCACUCUUCUCUUUCAGGAGACCUUGUUUUUUUUUUGUUUGUUUUUUUUGCAUUUCCAUUUGUUGUUUCCAUUCAACACGAAAAGCAAUCAUUCUUCAUAUCAAACUUUCUUGCUACAAUAUGCCAGGCAGGGUAAUUGUUUCUGCCUAAUGUUUAUGUAUUGUGGGAAGCGAGGGAGUCCUGUGUGUUCAGGAGGUAGAGGCGAGGCGAGAUUGAUGAUCAGGCCUCGGAGAGAGGGACCCAACAAAAGGAAGGGAAAGAAAGGAGGAGAGAAGAUUUUUUCGGGAGUGUAAUUAGCGAUGAUGAGCAGAACAAAAAAGAGAUUUAAGAGGGAAUUAUGGUAAUGUGGACAGUGUUCCCCGCACAUUUGCACACGCUCCUCCUUCCGUGAAUAAUCCCCUGCUCCCCUUGAACCUGUGGUUGUAAAUAAUAAUAGCUGAUAACCCGAUCAGGACGGAGGCGAGGCGCAAAGUAAUCUGCUACCUGAGAGAGGAAGGGAAGUGCAUCUGAGGAGAGUUUAUUUUCAAAGGGAGUAGAGAGUGGUCAAAUGAGGACUUAAAGGAAAGGAAGUAAGAAUAAACAGAAGGAGGUGCUUUAUAAUUUCAGCUUUCUUUUGAUUUAUUCAACACAAUCUACUGUUAAAACCUCCCAUUCUCACUCAAGACCUUAAUUAAACUGUUAAAUAGACCUUCAGGUUGGUGUGUUUGACCAGCCACCCCCUAUGGAUCGCUAAAUCCAGAACACAGUGUUUGACUAUUAUUUGCAAAGUAAUUACGCAAAUGUUUAAUUUAAUGAGGGCUCCUGCCUGCUAGAAUAGAAUUAAAGUAUGUCUCGGACUAGAUACUGUUAGAUGGGAGGAAUUCAGCAAAAAAAAGUCAAAUAAAAGACUUCUGUGGCACCGUGUAUUUUAAGGGCUGGGGAAUCUACAUUGCAAUAUUUUUUUAAUGUGUCAUGACUUGUUUUCGGAAUUCAAUCAGACUUUGAAUCAAAAGGGAAAAACAAGAGCCAUGAAGGAGAGUUAAGGGCUACAGUUUUAGUUGGAGAAAUGAAUGUGGAAUAUAGAAAUGACAAGAAGGCAUGUCUGCUUUAGUUUAAAUGAAGUUCCAGUGCAGUCUCAAACCUAAAUAUGGAACAGCUACAUUGGUCCACUGUGCAAAAACCUAUUAGUUUAACAAUAAUUUCUGUAAAAUACUGAGAUGACUAUCUACUCUUUUGUGUUGGUCGGUGUUGGUGUCAUGUGACUCACAAAGUUCACUGACUAGACCAUGGUUUAAUUCCCUUGUAGGACCAUUAUUUUAUGGUGUCGCUGUUGAGUCCCCUUUAGCUUUCAUUUUCAUCCACUGUUUCCAAUUGUUUUUAGUCACUGUUUUCAGGUUCAGUUUUCAGUCCUUCAUUUUCUGUCACUGUAUGUAUUCAGGUACCCUACAAAUCUACUUUAUUAAGUUUAGACACCAACAGUACUGGUUUCGGUUAAGGAAAACAUUGUAAUUCCGGUUAAAAUACACCUGUUUAAACACUUUUAAAUCACUGUUUUCAGUGGUUUUCAAUUACCUUUGCAUUGGUUUACCUACAAAGUUAAUGUUAAAUUUGAAUUGUUUUCUACGUUGCUACAGUCUCUUCCCAAGUAUAACCCCUAAAAAAUAAAAACAUCUCACUAAUUUACAGACACUUUUUUGUGAAAAUAAGCCAUUUUGCACUGUGGACCAACAUAACUAUGCUCCAUCUUUUUCUGAGACUGGGAUGGAAGUUCAAAUUAGAGAGUGACUUGUUUAAAUCAUGUUUACCAGCACAGUUAAAGGGGUCCUCCACUGAUUUUACACCAACAUGUAACUUUACCUGUCAUGAUCACCAGUGAAAUACUUGUCUUAUGUGGCAGCAGAUGAAGUGUUUUUACAAAAGGAGAAGCAAAUCUUUGUCACAUUGUUGCAGUUUGCAGAGAAAAUUUUGUUAAAAUGUAAACAUUCUCAGCUCACACAGACAUCAUCCAUCGUUACCCACAAGUCUUUUCAUCAGCUAAAUCAUUGUGAUCAAACAUUUGCUUUGCAUUCUGUCUGAACAUUCCUUUAAGUUAAAAUAACCCCGAUAAAGUCCUGAUGAUCAGCGUAAUCUCUUUAGAGCUUGAGGCUUUUUGACAGAAAGCUUACAUGACAAAAAACUGGAGCAAGAAAGACAUUGCAUUAUGGGAAAUGUAGUAUUUGGCUAUUUUGGAGCAGAUUGUGAGGAUAUUUUGACCAAUUCUGCUUCAAUUUUGCCUUUGAUCUGCAACUUUAUGAAGCCGAAAUUCACUGGAAGACCCCUUUAACAGUUAGAUAAAUAAACAUGAAUUCACAUUUUAUUUGUUUGCAGUAUUUGUAGGGCUGCAAUCAUUUCAUACCAGGCCUCAAACUCUGUGUUAAAAAAAGAGACUUUACAGCAUCAAGAGUCAACGUUUUCUUAAACCAAUCCAUCAGGAGCUCUUUUCAUUUCCGGCAGCCCGAUGUCAGUCAACACUGACAUCUAGUGAGUGAUGGCUUCAUAUCUCACUUCAUUAUUAUUGAGAUAUUCAUACUGCAGCUGUGUGUGCGUGGAUUCAGCAGUUAAACGUUACAAAUGAUCUAUAAGCCACUUAAAGCUGCGUCUCAUCGUUCCACUGUAGAAUAUGCAGACGAAUCAGCCUUUUAAUGCCAGUUGGAGGACUGUUAUUUGAAUUGUGGGAUCCGUUUGUGGCAUGAAAAAUGAAUAUUAGUCUCCAUGAUUCUUUCAUAUACUAUUAAAUAUUUUCUAUUUUCAGUCAGAAGCUGAGCAGAUAUUAUCUUUUGUAAGCAGAUAAAUGCUAUGAGGUGUUAUUCUUGGGCUAAAAGUGUGAGAAAUGUGUAUCCCGCUGUGUUUGCAGUGUUAUUGAUUUCCAGAAAUUACUAAGUCAUUUACUGUGAGCAGAGAGUUUGCAUGAUUGCAGAGUUUUGUGUGUGUUUUUCCGUGUUCACACUCUGAUUUCACUCUCUCUCUCUCUCUCUCUCUCUGAGUUCCUUUUGUUGAAGCCUGAAAUCAGCUUCUCUGUUCCGGCCCGUCUCCUCUCCAGCCUUCAGGCUUCACUUCAAAACGACCCUAAAAAAAAGAAGCUCAAUCUUCAAAGAGAGAUCCUUCUGAUCCCCCAGAAUCCACCUGUCAAUCACAGAACCGACCGACUGACCGACCUCCGACCUUUCGACGAGAUUUUAAUUGGCUCAACCGGCAGCAUGUGGACUGCUACGUUCGCCGUCUGUCUCACGCACCGACACAUCUCCCACAAGUGUGUGUGUGUGUGAUUCUGUGAUCGAUCCUCGAAGGACGUUUUUUGGACUUUUUCUUUCUUUUUUUGUACUGCAUGGCCGAUCCAACUUCUUGUGAGUCUUCCAGGAAGAUUUUAAGGGAAUUCACCGUUAUCUUACUUUCCUUCUCGUCUUCCAAAUGCAAAAAGAGUGCUUCAGUCUUCCAGUUAUCAAAGCCACAAUGACACUAUUUUUGUAUUCAAAAUGGGGCAAAAAUAUAUCUAUAUAUCUCUAUAUAUAAAUAUAUCCAUGCAGAUGUGGUUGGGGUGCAGUAACUCCCCCUGUUGCUGGCAAGGUGGAGUAACACAACUACUAGACGCCAUCCAAAAACCCAUGGAUCACUUGGAGGAAGGAGCUGAGAAGGACUUCGGAGAGUGCCAGGGACUUGCAGAUUGAAACUCCUGGGUUGAGAUAGAGGCUCACAGACGGGGCGGGACUACAGCAUGCAUGCGCCAAUCAUUUACUGGACACCUUCAAAGAAACAGUCUCUACCCAGUAUUUACUCUUUGACCCCCCCUUUAACCCCCUUAACCCCUCCACCCUCCUCAACACUCCUACUUUCCCCCCAACUCUUGUCUCUGCAUUUGCAAUAUGAUCCGUAUUUAUUUCUAUAAUAACUUACACAAAGUCAAGGG
Amphiprion ocellaris (clown anemonefish) is the source of this 4905-nucleotide long non-coding RNA. Lineage: Eukaryota; Metazoa; Chordata; Actinopteri; Pomacentridae. The record is from Ensembl.